UACGAAGGUUGCGAGCGUUGUUCGGAAUCACUGGGCUUAAAGAGCACGUAGGCGGCCCGUCAAGUGCCUUGUGAAAUCCCACGGCUCAACCGUGGAAUUGCUUGGUAUACUGUCGGGCUUGAGGCAGGUAGAGGUGCGUGGAACUCUUGGUGGAGCGGUGGAAUGCGUAGAUAUCAAGAGGAACGCCGGAGGCGAAAGCGAUGCACUGGGCCUGUCCUGACGCUGAGGUGCGAAAGCCAGGGGAGCAAAC
This 250-nucleotide ribosomal RNA is filed under the name uncultured bacterium. RNAcentral describes it as "partial 16S ribosomal RNA". It matches the Rfam family "Bacterial small subunit ribosomal RNA", at positions 524 to 773 of the family's 1533-position model. The record is from RNAcentral.